UAGUAACGGCGAGUGAAGCGGGAAGAGCUCAAGCUUAAAAUCUCCGUGCAAGUUUUGCGCGGCGAAUUGUAGUCUAUAGAGGCGUGGUCAGCGUGGGCGCUUGGGGCAAGUUCCUUGGAAGAGGACAGCAUGGAGGGUGAUACUCCCGUUCAUCCCUGAGUGGCUCGUGCGUACGACCCGUUUUCUUUGAGUCGCGUUGUUUGGGAAUGCAGCGCAAAGUAGGUGGUAAAUUCCAUCUAAAGCUAAAUAUUGGUGCGAGACCGAUAGCGAACAAGUACCGUGAGGGAAAGAUGAAAAGAACUUUGAAAAGAGAGUUAAAGAGUACCUGAAACUGCUGAAAGGGAACCGAAUCGUUUCCAGUGUCUAUAAUCUGUGGCAUAUUUCAUUGGCGAGCGUUUGCGUGCGUGUGCUGUGGCAGUGGCUUUUUUGGCUGCGCCUGGUGUGUGUGCUGUGAGUGUUUGCUGGUGCCCUGUGCUGCGGUGGGACGUCAAGGUCAGUUCGUAUGCUGCGGGAAAUGGCUGCCGAGGAGGUAGGGCUUACGCUCCGCGUUUGUCUGUUAUAUCUUGGUGGACGAGUCGUCGCGGUUGGGACUGAGGUGCCUACAACGUGCUUUUGAGUGGGUUUGUGUCUCCGUGUGCGCCGUGUGCGGAUAGCUUGCUAUGCGUGUGUGGUUGUGUGUGGAUGGAUGCGGGCCUUAACUUGUCGCCGUUC
RNAcentral lists this ribosomal RNA (711 nucleotides) under Phytophthora citricola. RNAcentral's name for it is "eukaryotic LSU rRNA". It matches the Rfam family "Eukaryotic large subunit ribosomal RNA", at positions 81 to 618 of the family's 3401-position model. The record is from RNAcentral. Lineage: Eukaryota; Oomycota; Peronosporomycetes; Peronosporales; Peronosporaceae. RNAcentral also lists the same sequence under 1 other name.